GUAGGGAAUAUUGCGCAAUGGGGGAAACCCUGACGCAGCGACGCCGCGUGAGUGAUGAAGGCCUUCGGGUCGUAAAGCUCUGUUGCAGGGGAAUAAAAAAAUGAAGGUACCCUGUGAGGAAGGAUCGGCUAACUUCGUGCCAGCAGCCGCGGUAAGACGAGGGAUCCUAGCGUUGCUCGGAAUCAUUGGGCGUAAAGAGGGCGUAGGUGGCUUGGUAAGUCAGGUGUGAAAGCCCAGGGCUCAACCCUGGAAGUGCAUUUGAUACUGCUGAGCUUGAGUGUCGGAGAGGUUACCGGAAUACCUGGUGUAGUGGUGAAAUACGUAGAUAUCAGGUGGAACACCGGAGGCGAAGGCGGGUAACUGGACGAACACUGACACUGAGGCCCGAAAGCGUGGGGAUCAAACAGGAUUAGAUACCCUUGUAGUCC
RNAcentral lists this ribosomal RNA (428 nucleotides) under uncultured bacterium. RNAcentral describes it as "partial 16S ribosomal RNA". It matches the Rfam family "Bacterial small subunit ribosomal RNA", at positions 354 to 796 of the family's 1533-position model. The record is from RNAcentral.